UACGUAGGGUGCGAGCGUUAAUCGGAAUUACUGGGCGUAAAGCGUGCGCAGGCGGUCUCGUAAGCUGGGUGUGAAAGCCCCGGGCUUAACCUGGGAAUGGCAUUCAGGACUGCGAGGCUCGAGUGUGGCAGAGGGAGGUGGAAUUCCACGUGUAGCAGUGGAAUGCGUAGAGAUGUGGAGGAACACCGAUGGCGAAGGCAGCCUUCUGGGACAGCACUGACGCUCAUGCGCGAUAGCGUGGGGAGCAAACAGG
RNAcentral lists this ribosomal RNA (253 nucleotides) under uncultured bacterium. RNAcentral's name for it is "partial 16S ribosomal RNA". It matches the Rfam family "Bacterial small subunit ribosomal RNA", at positions 524 to 776 of the family's 1533-position model. The record is from RNAcentral.